CUUUGAGCCAAUCAAACAGGAUCCGAUUAUGAUAUUUAAGACGACGCCACGAGUAGGCCGGCUCUGGUCUGCUUCUGGGAAUUGGUCCCUAGCCAAAUCUGCCUGAGCUAGGAUCCUGGGAGUCUCUACUUUGUUUUAAUAGGACCAGGGCUGAGUACAGUGCUUACAAGCUAAUUGGUUAUGUCUCAGCAGACCAAGGAUUCUAGUCCUGUAUCCUGUCCACAUAGUGGACACAUACAAAAAUAUGUGAUAGGUGGUGUUUUAGUAAACACUCUCUUCACACACACUAAGAUUCUAGAAUAUUUAAUAUACUGGCAGUUAACAUAUUAACUCUCACUCAUACAAUUUUUUAGAGAGCUACAUUGUAGUAUGGUAGAAAAAACAUGUCAUCAUUCAGAAUCCUAGAUUUAAAUCCCGUUUUGACAAUCAGCUAGUUAUAUGACCUCAAGAAUUCAAUUAACCUCUUUUAGCCUUUCAUCUGUGCUGGGUCUAAUACCUACUUUGCAGGGUUGCUGUGAAGGCCCAACAGCAAUGUAACUAAUUGGCCAUGGAGCUAAUCCCAGUAUGUGUUCUAAAUAAAUGGACCUGAAACCUCUUGAACGUGAGGUCCCAUGUGUCCUCAUGUUCAAGAUCACAAUACUUCCAAGGACAUGUGGGCUUUUUCCAGUAGCAAAUAUGGACAUUAAG
Molecule: long non-coding RNA, 687 nt
Filed under: Marmota monax (woodchuck)
Lineage: Eukaryota; Metazoa; Chordata; Mammalia; Rodentia; Sciuridae
Source: RNAcentral